Molecule: ribosomal RNA, 303 nt
Filed under: Triticum aestivum (bread wheat)
Lineage: Eukaryota; Viridiplantae; Streptophyta; Magnoliopsida; Poales; Poaceae
Description: partial small subunit ribosomal RNA
Source: RNAcentral
AUGUCCACCUUGGUCAGGUCGGUGCCGGUCGAGCAGGAUAAACCUCCUGGCCAAGCCAGUGGCGUCAGCAAGGCGGACGACUGCAGUGGUGUGGAGGUGCGAUCUGUCAGGCUAAGGUUCACUGGAAAAUAUAUAUUGGAACUACCAGCUAUGAUGCUAGACGAUGCUAAUGGUUUACUCCGUUUGGUGCAAGAUGUGCCAAUCAGGGUGCUUGAUCUACAAGAUUACAGAUACAUUCUGUUCCAUCUUCACAUCGAUUGCCAAGUCCUGAUACAUAUUCUUGUCAUGUCUGGGCCAAACUGA